Glycine soja is the source of this 1109-nucleotide long non-coding RNA. RefSeq lists it as uncharacterized. The record is from RefSeq and is a predicted model, not a curated record. Lineage: Eukaryota; Viridiplantae; Streptophyta; Magnoliopsida; Fabales; Fabaceae. The transcript has 2 exons.
UCUUUUAACGCAUAAAGCAAAGGAGACAGCACGGGAACUAAAUAGUAGUUGGCAUAGCCUGUCUAUCAUGUACAAAAAGAUUUGUAAGAAAUAUGGAGAAGAAAUAUGGAGAUAUGAAGUCCCACACAGGGUCUCGCUUUCUUCAUUGGCGACAUAGGGUCUCUUACGAGACACUAGUUUCUCCAACUUGCUGGUCCCACACAGUUUCUUCCUCUGUCUAUUUCCCUAGCAGAUCUCAACCAAUUCUUAUAUAUAAACCCCUUUCGAGAUCUGCUUCAAGCUCUGUCCCCUUCUUCCACUUCCACCCUCCUCUCUGACAAGUUCUCACCUUUCAAUUCCACUUCUGCAUUUGCAUCAGUUUCAGUUACAAAAAUCUUACAUUUUCCCCAAUUUUAUUUAUUUGUUCUGAUGAAUAAGCAUUGCAAAACAACUUGGAUGGUGUAUUUGCUAAAGGGUGUCAUCUAAUUUUGGAUUAUGUUAAUUGAACUCUUUCAAUUUCAUUUUUUUUAAUAAAGUAUGGACUUGUUCUGUAAUUUGAGGUUUUUGUGGAUAAGAGUGAGCUAUAAUGGCUUCCAGGAGACCGGGUUUAAUUGCUUUGUUUGAUGUUGACGGGACUCUUACAGCUCCCAGGAAGGUAUCUGAUUCUUCUGCAGCUAAUGACACUCUCCAUGACUGCAGAUUUUUUUUAAUUUGAAAUUGAAGGUGUCUCGCCAAUGGAGAGGCGAGACCCUACGUCGCCAAUGAAGAAAGCGAGUCCCUCCACGCCAGCCAGUAUGGCUAGUGCGACGGACGGCACCCUUCCACGUCAGCACUGUAUUGCUGUUGCCAAUGGCGACUCAUACUUUUUCGCCAUUAUCAUUGGCGGGUUCCAUGCAAAAAGUAACCCCUUUGCAUAAAUAGUUUUUAAAUGUGACUCCUUUGAGUAAAUUUGCCAAAAAUAUUAGCACCCCAACCACACCGUUUGUUCCAAGAAAUUAUGUCAAAUUGAUCGAACAUGGGCUGGUGUUAGUUUCCUCAGCCCACUCCUGACACUGUCAUGAUUGAAUCUGCAAGUUCACAGUAUGUCUAUUAUUGUAUUAUUAAUUAUAUGAUUCAUUAUGUUCUGUUCC